Molecule: ribosomal RNA, 468 nt
Filed under: uncultured bacterium
Lineage: Bacteria
Description: partial 16S ribosomal RNA
Rfam family: Bacterial small subunit ribosomal RNA
Source: RNAcentral
GACGAACGCUGGCGGCGUGCUUAACACAUGCAAGUCGAACGGAAAGGCCCUGCUUUUGUGGGGUGCUCGAGUGGCGAACGGGUGAGUAACACGUGAGUAACCUGCCCUUGACUUUGGGAUAACUUCAGGAAACUGGGGCUAAUACCGGAUAGGAGCUCCUGCUGCAUGGUGGGGGUUGGAAAGUUUCGGCGGUUGGGGAUGGAUUCGCGGCUUAUCAGCUUGUUGGUGGGGUAGUGGCUUACCAAGGCUUUGACGGGUAGCCGGCCUGAGAGGGUGACCGGCCACAUUGGGCCUGAGAUACGGCCCAGACUCCUACGGGAGGCAGCAGUGGGGAAUAUUGCACAAUGGGCGGAAGCCUGAUGCAGCAACGCCGCGUGCGGGAUGACGGCCUUCGGGUUGUAAACCGCUUUCGCCUGUGACGAAGCGUGAGUGACGGUAAUGGGUAAAGAAGCACCGGCUAACUACGUG